AGUUUCUGAAUGCAUUAUCGAGCCAAGAUUUAUUACAAAACCUUGCAACAAUGUGGUUUGGGACAAGAAGCUGACCAUGAUUUUAACCUGAUAGUAAAACGGGCCUUGUCUCUUGACAGCUGAAAGUCUGAAACAAGAUCAUAAUAUUUCUCAAGCGCUGAACUAACACAAGUAAGGGAAUGGAAGUGAAUACUUGUUCUGAAGCAACUGGCAUGAAAAUGUACCUCUCAAGUAUCUGGUUUUUUCUAAUCUCCUUCCGUGAAAAGAAAGAUUCUUAGGGUACCAAGGCAAAGGCUUGAUUGCCUCCAAUUCACCACUCUCUAUGGCCUUAAGUAUGCUUCUUAUGUCUAUCAUCAAUGAGACACUAGAAAAAUGAAAGAGUCAUGAAUCAACCUCAGCCCGAAGAGAUUUCAUGAAAUCAUUCUCCAAUUUCAAUCAAAUCCCAUCACAAAAUUGACCACUGAAGAAUCAAAAACAGAGGCCACUUAGUCAAAAAAAACUCUGAAACUCCAUAAACGAAUCCCACUCUUCAGCUUUCACUAUCCUUUGUUCCUUACACAACUUCACAACAAGACAUUACAAUGGUGUUUAUUAGAAGUAAAGUUUCAAAAUCCAUGGAAGCCAUUGAUUCUAUUGAGG
This 639-nucleotide small RNA is filed under the name Arabidopsis thaliana (thale cress). Its description in RNAcentral is "putative long intergenic non-coding RNA". The record is from RNAcentral. Lineage: Eukaryota; Viridiplantae; Streptophyta; Magnoliopsida; Brassicales; Brassicaceae.